GCCUGACUGGCUCAGUUGGUAGAGCAUCAGACUCUUGAUCUUAGGGUUGUGACUCUGAGAUCCAUGUUGGGUG
This 73-nucleotide transfer RNA is filed under the name Canis lupus familiaris (dog). It matches the Rfam family "tRNA". From Rfam's summary of the family: Transfer RNA (tRNA) molecules are approximately 80 nucleotides in length. Lineage: Eukaryota; Metazoa; Chordata; Mammalia; Carnivora; Canidae. RNAcentral also lists the same sequence under 1 other name. The record is from Rfam by way of RNAcentral.